This 474-nucleotide ribosomal RNA is filed under the name uncultured bacterium. Its description in RNAcentral is "partial 16S ribosomal RNA". It matches the Rfam family "Bacterial small subunit ribosomal RNA", at positions 28 to 507 of the family's 1533-position model. The record is from RNAcentral.
GAUGAACGCUAGCGGCAGGCCUAACACAUGCAAGUCGAGGGAGGAGCCUUCGGGCUUCGACCGGCGUACGGGUGCGUAACGCGUAUACAAUCUGCCUUUCACAUAGGGAUAGCCCGAAGAAAUUUGGAUUAAUACCUAAUGGUAUAUAGAUGUGGCAUCAGCUUUAUAUUAAAGCUGAGGCGGUGAAAGAUGAGUAUGCGUUCUAUUAGCUAGUUGGAGAGGUAACGGCUCCCCAAGGCGACGAUAGAUAGGGGUUCUGAGAGGGAUAUCCCCCACACUGGUACUGAGAUACGGACCAGACUCCUACGGGAGGCAGCAGUGAGGAAUAUUGGACAAUGGUCGGAAGACUGAUCCAGCCAUGCCGCGUGCAGGAAGACGGCCUUAUGGGUUGUAAACUGCUUUUGCAGGGGAAGAAUAAGGACUACGCGUAGUUUGAUGACGGUACUCUGCGAAUAAGCAUCGGCUAACUCCGUG